This is an RNA transcript of Syzygium oleosum, 2346 nucleotides long. It is a transcript of the gene named protein WHAT'S THIS FACTOR 9, mitochondrial, with no coding region annotated. Lineage: Eukaryota; Viridiplantae; Streptophyta; Magnoliopsida; Myrtales; Myrtaceae. The record is from RefSeq and is a predicted model, not a curated record. The transcript is spliced from 3 exons.
UUUUCUUUCUCAAUCUUCUCUCUCCUCUUUGAGAUUAUCUCAUCCGUUUCUCCCGCAAGCUCCGAUUUUUUCCGCCAUUGUCGACAACCGUACGUGACUCCGGCCAAGCUUCAGUCACAGACUCACAGGUAUUGUCGAACUGCGCAACCACACUGCCACCUCCUCCGCCGCUUCCCGGAGCCCUCUCCUUCACUCCUCCACCGCCAACAGAGCCGGAGCUCACGUAACUCUGGCGAGCCUCGGAGGGAACCGCCGCAGGCCGCAGCGUUUCCUCCUCUCCCUCCCUCUCUUCACCACCGUCGCGCCGCCUCUCUCACCGGAGGUACCCACGUGCGUUUUCGACAUUCAGAAGAGCUUAAUUUCACCAACCCACUUCACAUUCGCUGUUCCGAACAGCAUUCCCUCAGGCUCUUAUCCAAUUUUGCCUCUUGGUGUUUACCUGGAACCACCGUUCGACGCCAACCAUCGCCUGCGACAAUCCGUUUUGCACAGCAGCACAUGGAAAUGAUGUAUAUUGGAUUGUUGAAACCGAGAAGAAGCCACGAAGGAACCAUGGCCUGAGAUUACAAAAAAUUGUCUUUUAGAUGAAGGAUGUUGCUCUGGUUAUUGGUUAGGACUGGAGAAUCCAAUUUCUCCUUUAGCUGCCGGCAAGGUUUUAGGUAUCAACAGAAGUGUAGCCUGGUGAAUGUGAAAUUGAAGUGGGUGAAAGAUCGGGAGCUUGACACUGUUGUUUCAGGGGAGAGGGAUCUCAAAGCAGUGAACUUCCUUAUUUAUAUUAUUGCCUCUGCUCCGCAGUGUUGCCUCCCUGUAUACAACCUCUCUCGCUCUCGUGGACAACUUGGCCUGCCCCACGAUCUCAAGCUCUCCACGUUUAUCAGGAGAUACCCAAAUAUUUUUCACGAGUUUUAUACUCCUGACAGUGGAGGGACUCCCGUUCCCUGGUUUCACUUGACACCUGAAGCCCAUGUACUCCACCAGGAGGAACUCAGCGUUUUGCAACAGAACCAUAUCGAUGUCCAGAACAGGCUUUGCCAAUUGCUUAUGCUCACUAGAGAUAGGAUCCUUCCUGUACAAACUAUUGACCAGUUGAAAUGGGAUCUUGGAUUGCCCUAUGAUUAUCAGGAAUCACUGAUUUUAAAGAGUCCAGAAUUAUUCUCUUUAGUUAGGCUACCUGAUGAUCGUAUUGGCGUGAAACUUCUAUUGUGGGACAAUCACCUAGCUGUGUCUGAAUUGCAGAAGAAUGCACCUUUACUGCAGAAGGAAGAAGAUUUAAAAGACGGCAUCCUAUCUUUUCCGAUUCGGUUCACGAGAGGCUUUGGGCUGAAGAGAAAAUGCAUGAAGUGGCUAGAAGAAUGGCAGAGGCUUCCUUAUACUUCUCCUUACACGGAUGCUUCCCACUUAGAUCCUCGUACUGACGUAUCGGAGAAAAGGAUUGUCGGAGUCUUUCAUGAGCUUCUACACCUCACUGUCAAGAAGAAAACAGAGAGGAAGAACGUAAGUAAUCUACGCAAUCCAUUAAGUUUGCCCCAAAAGUUCACCAAGGUUUUUGAGCGCCAUCCAGGAAUCUUUUACAUUUCGAAAAAGACUGAUACUCAGAAUGUGAUCCUUAGAGAGGCUUUUGAGGGAAGGCGUCUCUUGUAUGAACACCCCAUGGUACAAUUCCGGGAAAAAUUGGCAAGCAUGAUGAGGAAAGGUUUUCUAGACAGAAGCAGGGGGAAUUACAAAAGUUCUGCCGAUGACGAUCUGGCAGAAGAUGCUGGCGUGGCAAUCAGCGAUGAUCAACAAAUUUCUGAACAAGAGACAGAUGCUUAUAUGUUUUCUGAUUAUGAGUCGGAUGGUACUUUGGAUGAUCCUCAUUGGAAAACAAAAGGAAAAUCCUCCCGGUGCUAAAGUGGCAUUUGUGGUCAAGGGAAGCGGCUAUAUUGGGGGUAAGACAGAUGAGUUUUCUAUGAAGGGAAACUGCACUGCACAGAUCUCACUUCAUGGUGACUGCUGGUCUAAGGACAUCUUAUAUCAAUUUGCUCUGUUCAUUUGAUCUUCAGGUGAGAAAGACAUGAAUACUGGCAACUUCCAGGGAGGCGGCCUUCUUGCAAGGCCGUGGAAGAGUCAUCUUUAAGGCCUGGUGGCUACGUUAAUUUGGCCAAAGUUUAUCAGCAUCUGAAUGGGGAUUCUAUUAAUAUCAGCUGAGAUUUCAGCGAAUCUGCUCGGAAUCAUCCUGGACAUCUGAAGUAUGUCGUCCGGUUUGGCAUGAACAGCAGCCGAACGCAACCGAACACAGUCCGGUUUCACACUGCUGCAGUUCAAAUCCAGUUUGAGUUUGCUCUAGAAUAGCAGCUAUUUUCAUUC